This 490-nucleotide ribosomal RNA is filed under the name uncultured bacterium. RNAcentral describes it as "partial 16S ribosomal RNA". It matches the Rfam family "Bacterial small subunit ribosomal RNA", at positions 30 to 507 of the family's 1533-position model. The record is from RNAcentral.
AUUGAACGCUGGCGGCAUGCCUUACACAUGCAAGUCGAACGGCAGCAUGAUCUAGCUUGCUAGAUUGAUGGCGAGUGGCGAACGGGUGAGUAAUACAUCGGAACGUGCCCUGUAGUGGGGGAUAACUAGUCGAAAGAUUAGCUAAUACCGCAUACGACCUGAGGGUGAAAGUGGGGGACCGCAAGGCCUCAUGCUAUAGGAGCGGCCGAUGACUGAUUAGCUAGUUGGUGAGGUAAAGGCUCACCAAGGCGACGAUCAGUAGCUGGUCUGAGAGGACGAUCAGCCACACUGGGACUGAGACACGGCCCAGACUCCUACGGGAGGCAGCAGUGGGGAAUUUUGGACAAUGGGCGAAAGCCUGAUCCAGCAAUGCCGCGUGUGUGAAGAAGGCCUUCGGGUUGUAAAGCACUUUUGUCCGGAAAGAAAUGGCUCUGGUUAAUACCUGGGGUCGAUGACGGUACCGGAAGAAUAAGGACCGGCUAACUACGUG